This 461-nucleotide ribosomal RNA is filed under the name uncultured Pelotomaculum sp. Its description in RNAcentral is "bacterial SSU rRNA". It matches the Rfam family "Bacterial small subunit ribosomal RNA", at positions 923 to 1382 of the family's 1533-position model. Lineage: Bacteria; Bacillati; Bacillota; Clostridia; Eubacteriales; Desulfotomaculaceae. The record is from RNAcentral.
GCACAAGCGGUGGAGCAUGUGGUUUAAUUCGACGCAACGCGAAGAACCUUACCAGGGUUUGACAUCCCCUGACAGCUAUUGAAAGAUAGACUUCAUCUUCGGAUGACAGGGAGACAGGUGGUGCAUGGUUGUCGUCAGCUCGUGUCGUGAGAUGUUGGGUUAAGUCCCGCAACGAGCGCAACCCCUACGUUUAGUUGCUAACGGGUAAAGCCGAGCACUCUGGACGAACUGCCGUUGACAAAACGGAGGAAGUGGGGAUGACGUCAAAUCAUCAUGCCCCUUAUGUCCUGGGCCACACACGUGCUACAAUGGCCGGUACAGAGGGAAGCGAAGCCGUGAGGUGGAGCAAAUCCCAAAAAGCCGGUCUCAGUUCGGAUUGCAGGCUGCAACCCGCCUGCAUGAAGUCGGAAUCGCUAGUAAUCGCAGGUCAGCAUACUGCGGUGAAUACGUUCCCGGGCCUU